GAUUAUGUAGUUUAAAAGUAAAAUUUUGGUCUUGUAAACCAAAGAUUCGUAUUUGACUUAAUCA
RNAcentral lists this transfer RNA (64 nucleotides) under Plegadiphilus threskiornis. RNAcentral's name for it is "tRNA-Thr". It matches the Rfam family "tRNA". From Rfam's summary of the family: Transfer RNA (tRNA) molecules are approximately 80 nucleotides in length. Their secondary structure includes four short double-helical elements and three loops (D, anti-codon, and T loops). The record is from RNAcentral. Lineage: Eukaryota; Metazoa; Arthropoda; Insecta; Psocodea; Menoponidae.